RNAcentral lists this ribosomal RNA (657 nucleotides) under Triticum aestivum (bread wheat). Its description in RNAcentral is "partial small subunit ribosomal RNA". Lineage: Eukaryota; Viridiplantae; Streptophyta; Magnoliopsida; Poales; Poaceae. The record is from RNAcentral.
AUGCGGUUCCGGACCUUCUCCUCGAAGCAUGGCCAAUGGGGCGUCAUCCGCCAAGCCUCCGUCGCCGAGCACCACCAAAAGCCGAAACGGCUGCUUGUCUCCCGUCCCGCCGUCAUCGGCCGCACCGUCUUCUGCCUCUGCUGCCUCCUAAACGCCCAGAUUGGGUACCAGCCGGACGGCAUCGUCGCUCUGGACGUCGACGCGGCAGAGGCGACGACCAUGAAGCUCCCGCCAGGCUGCACCUCCACAACCACAAGGAUCCUCCGUGACGAAGACGAGCACCUCCUCUUGGCCUCCGUGCGUGGCCGUCUGAGCUUGCUCGUCGCCGUGAGAGGUGGGAUAUCGAUGUGGACCUUGACGCCGGCCUCGUCGCCUGAGUCCCCGGCGACCUGGAACUGGCGGCUGGGGAUCGGUAGGGUGGAGUUUGAGAAGCAGGUGGAUCAGGUCGGCUCGCCUCCUCGAUAUGUUAUUGAGGGGUUCGGAGAGAGGAGCGGCACAGUUAUCGUGCGGGGCAGCAGCGACCUCCUCCGGGUUGAUCUAGGAACCAAGGUCGUCACCAAGUUCCAUUGCUCGCGAAAUGCGUUGGUCGCGUACCCGUUUUUGUUAUGGCACGAGGAAGAUUUGGUCUCUUUGCUUCAAGCCAUGAAGUAUUUCUGA